AUGGGUAGCAGGCUGGGCCGCCGCGUGCUCCACUUCGCCAACCUCCCCAUCAAGCUCAUGCUCCCCCCAGCGCCCCUAUCCUCCGUCCAGGAGUUUGCUGUCAGGACCGUCCCCUCCGCCUCCAAGGUCGACAUCCGCCGCUGUCUCGAGUCCGUCUACGGCUUCAACAUCGCCGAAGUCCGCACCCUCAACAUGGAGGGCAAGAAGCACCGCCGGGGGCCCUUCCUCGCCGCCAAGCCAGACUACAAGAAGGCCUACGUCACUCUUCAGGCCCCGCUCUCCGUUUCCCCCGACAUCUUCCCCAUCGGCGCGAUCCUCGGGGAGAGGGAGCGGAAGGCCAGCGCAGCCGCCGCGAGGAGGAAGGUCGUGGAAGGGGCAGAGGUCGAGGGGGAGAGGGAGGGGAAGGGGAAGCAUUGGAUGGAGGACGAGAGGGAGGGCUUCUCCAGGGCCGGAUGCGGCAAGAUCGUGUAUGGGAACCCUGGGAGGUUGGGGAACAAGAGGAGGGGACGUGCCAGGGCGAAUGAGCAAGCUGACGAAAAGGGGGGAAACUUCCCGUGGAACGGGAUGGGGCUGGCUACCGAGAAACCUGCUAGGAAAAGACACUAUCCUCCCAAGGCACAGGGAGGCAUGGUCUUGAAGCAGAGAUCACACAGGGGAUCAGCGCUGCGUGGAAAGAGUUGA
RNAcentral lists this ribosomal RNA (681 nucleotides) under Triticum aestivum (bread wheat). RNAcentral's name for it is "partial small subunit ribosomal RNA". The record is from RNAcentral. Lineage: Eukaryota; Viridiplantae; Streptophyta; Magnoliopsida; Poales; Poaceae.